GAGACAGCAGUCGCCGCGGUAAUACGUAGGUGGCAAGCGUUAUCCGGAAUUAUUGGGCGUAAAGCGCGCGUAGGCGGUUUUUUAAGUCUGAUGUGAAAGCCCACGGCUCAACCGUGGAGGGUCAUUGGAAACUGGAAAACUUGAGUGCAGAAGAGGAAAGUGGAAUUCCAUGUGUAGCGGUGAAAUGCGCAGAGAUAUGGAGGAACACCAGUGGCGAAGGCGACUUUCUGGUCUGUAACUGACGCUGAUGUGCGAAAGCGUGGGGAUCAAACAGGAUUAGAUACCCCUGUAGUCCCUGUCUCUUAUAC
This 308-nucleotide ribosomal RNA is filed under the name uncultured bacterium. Its description in RNAcentral is "partial 16S ribosomal RNA". It matches the Rfam family "Bacterial small subunit ribosomal RNA", at positions 505 to 807 of the family's 1533-position model. The record is from RNAcentral.